GGCUGUUACACCUACACCACCCCUUCCUUACCCUGGGACCCCUUGUGAGCAGCAAAGGGUAAAAGAUGAAGGUGUUGCAGUACAGCUUGGCUGUCCAUCCUGAUAUGCAGAGUCCUUCCCUACCUUCUGCAAGAGGAGCCAGUAACACCUCAGGGUGCAGGAGUUUGAUGUUUUUAAUCUUUUUCAUAGGAGAUGCUGAUAACAGCAUCAUGUCCCCAUCCUCCUUACUUGGACUGGCCCCAUCCUCCUGCCUUUAGUGCCCUCACAGCCCAUCUGAUCUAACUGGUGAGGAAAUCCCAUCCUCAAGCAAUGCUGCUAUGAAGUACCUUAAACUCCUGGAGUGACACCUGCCCCUUUUGGAAAUUCCUCAUGAACGGUGUAUUCUCCGCCCGCUCGUGCACCUCCUUGGUAGCUUCUUUCAACAGUUCUGACAGGUCUGUGGACAUUCUGGGGAAGAACAGUGAAACAGGUAUUAGUGCUGUCUGCUCUGACAAAAUAGAUCUUAGCUCUCCAAGACAAAAGGGGGAGCCUGGGAUGGCAGGAAAAGGAGCAGAGCAUUCCGGAGAGCUGUGGAUGGGAGUCAGAGAGCACCAGCUUUCCAAACACUGUCCCGAGCAAGCAAGACUGACAGACUCCAUCCAGAAGUGAAAGCAGCAGCAUGCCUUUCCCUGCAGAGCAGGAACAGGAACAGCAUGCCUAAAAGCAAGGGGAGAAACACAACACUCCCCUAGCAAAGCGCUUCCCUCUCACUCCCGUCCCGCUCUCACCUUUCGGAGCUGUGCGCCUGGGAAGUUUCCAUGUUUCUCCACGUCGUUUCACUCCUCUGCUUCCCUGCUGUUGCUCGUGCUUUCCUCCUUCCUUUCUGCUCCCAGGACAGUGAAGCUCUGAGCUGGGCAGCCUGGCUCCCACAUCCAGCUUUAUACGGCCAGGCCACGUGAGCAGUGAACCGCUGACCUCAGUGUGAGUACAAACUUCUUGCAACACAGCAGCACUUCCCUUCCGAGCCUGGCUGUCACCCUCUCCUGGCCUGCAGCCCCAAGGAACCAGAAGGAAGUCACCUGAUGCAUCUUGAUAACUAAGCACAAACAAGAGGAUGUCCAGAAACUUCUCUUUUAAGGGUGCCUGGCUCUGUAACCCUUUCAGUGCCUUGCCCGUGGCAGGCAGAGCCCGGGUACUGCAAGAGGUGCUCGUUGUCCUGGAGACAGUGGGGUUGGACAAGGAGGGUGGAUUUACAGGGGAUUUAGUGGAUUUAGUGCCUGGGGCAGGGAGAGCAGCCUUCUCUCCCUACACCCCAGUCUGUGUCCCCUGCACCCUCCCUGGAAAGCUAAUCCAGCACUCACCCUCACCUGCUCUACCACAGCUCAGGUAAAAGCAUCUUAUCUCCCAUGGCCGUGCAUAGGCAUGCACCACCUCUGGCCUGCAGGUGCCAGAACUGCCCUUGAGCAGUUCCCCCUUGCCCUUGGCACUGGGCAGCAAACCCUGACGCUGUGCACAGAGCCAACACAGGUGUGCCAGUGCUGACGUGCAGAGAAAUCCAUUCCAUGCUCUCUUGCUCAUGGAAACAAUGGCAUCUGAUUAGUUUGACAGCUGGCUCCUGUUGUCAUCACAGCAGCGUGCAGGGCAAUUUAGGAAAAUAGCACUCCAUCUCCUAGAUACCCAGAAGGCUGGGAGAGCUGAAAAGAUAUCAUACGGGACUUGGGGGAAACUGAGGGAGUCUGCAGAGACUUUCAAAGGCACAUAAUUUCUCUGAUGUGGGGAAAGAGUUGGACAUGGUGCUUCUGCCAGUAGCUGUUGCUCUGCUGGGUUUUUUUUGAUAAAGUGGUCAGUGAAGCAGCCAACAAAUGAAGAUGGGCCCUUCUUUCCCACCUGUAGCUGGGCUGGAAGCUGGGCUAGCAGGGAUAGAUGAUUCAUUGGCUAGCUGUGCUUUGGGAAAUCCCACAUUUGUGCUCAGCCCAAAAGAGCAGGGCACUUAGAGCCACCAUUCCCCUGCUGCUGCAGGUGUGAGCAAGUCCCUGACAGAGUCGUGCAGGGGGUGGUGGGGAGGCAGAGCCUGGGGUGGAAGGAGAAGGACUGUGGCGUCUGCUGUCCCUCUGCAGCCAGUCCCCUCUGUGGAUGCUGCCAUCCAAACCAGCACCUCACCUGUCUCCCUGUCACUGCACCCACACCAGCCCCAGCAGGGUUGGAGGCUGUAGGUUAAAAAGCUGUUCUGGAAAAAAUAUGCUUCCUCGCUUCUUUUUUGACUCCAGCAGACAUCUGGCUUGCAGUGUUCAGGAAGGAUUACUCAGCAUUUCCAUCCUGACUCAGCCAGACUUUUCCUGUCUUGCUUUUGUCUUUUAAAGCAACAGUGCAUGCUGGGAAAAAGCUGACACGUUCCAUUCUUACCCCCAUGCCACUGCAGACAACUUGCUUACUUUUCUGUAAGGUAAAAUAAAUGUAUCAGGAUGUCUGAA
Molecule: long non-coding RNA, 2450 nt
Organism: Corvus hawaiiensis (hawaiian crow)
Lineage: Eukaryota; Metazoa; Chordata; Aves; Passeriformes; Corvidae
Exons: 2
Source: RefSeq, a predicted model, not a curated record